GCCAGUGUGGUAUAGUGUUUGAUGCUGAGACUAGGACUCUGACAGGCUAGGGUUCAAAUCCUUGCUCUGUCA
This is a non-coding RNA of Phrynosoma platyrhinos (Desert horned lizard), 72 nucleotides long. The record is from the annotation of a GenBank genome assembly. NCBI's taxonomy places the organism in Eukaryota, Metazoa, Chordata, Lepidosauria, Squamata, Phrynosomatidae.